RNAcentral lists this transfer RNA (72 nucleotides) under Bursaphelenchus xylophilus (pine wood nematode). RNAcentral describes it as "tRNA-Ser". The record is from RNAcentral. Lineage: Eukaryota; Metazoa; Nematoda; Chromadorea; Rhabditida; Aphelenchoididae.
UUUGUUUUUAGAAUAAACUAAUUUUUUAUGUUUUGAAAACAUAAUAAGAAUUUUAUUUUUCUUAGUUUUGAG